CCUACGGGAGGCAGCAGUGGGGAAUUUUCCGCAAUGGGCGAAAGCCUGACGGAGCGACGCUGCGUGAAGGAUGACGGCCUGCGGGUUGUAAACUUCUUUUCUCGAAGAAGAAUCAAUGACGGUAUUCGAGGAAUAAGCAUCGGCUAACUCUGUGCCAGCAGCCGCGGUAAGACAGAGGAUGCAAGUGUUAUUCGGAUUGAUUGGGCGUAAAGCGUCUGUAGGCGGUUUAGAAAGUCUCUUGUGAAAUUCUUCAGCUCAACUGAGGGUCCGCAAAAGAAACUUCUAGGCUUGAGGGAAGUAGAGGUAUAGGGAAUUUCCGGUGGAGCGGUGAAAUGCGUAGAUAUCGGAAGGAACACCAAUAUGGCGAAGGCACUGUACUGGGCUUUUCCUGACGCUAAGAGACGAAAGCUAAAGGAGUGAUUAGGAUUAGAUACCCUAGUAAUUUUAGCCGUAAACGAUGGAAACUCACUGCCGAGCCGGUAUUCGGAGCGGUGGUCAAGCUAACGCGUGAAGUUUCCCGCCUGGGGAUUACGCAUGCAAAUGUGAAACUCAAAGGAAUUGACGGA
This 566-nucleotide ribosomal RNA is filed under the name uncultured bacterium. RNAcentral's name for it is "bacterial SSU rRNA". It matches the Rfam family "Bacterial small subunit ribosomal RNA", at positions 338 to 917 of the family's 1533-position model. The record is from RNAcentral.